AGAGAUGGAGCAAAUCCCAAAAAUAAACGUCCCAGUUCGGACUGUAGUCUGCAACCCGACUACACGAAGCUGGAAUCGCUAGUAAUCGCGGAUCAGAAUGCCGCGGUGAAUACGUUCCCGGGUCUUGUACACACCGCCCGUCACACCAUGGGAGUCAGUAACGCCCGAAGUCAGUGACCUAACCGAAAGGGAGGAGCUGCCGAAGGCGGGACGGAUGACUGGGGUGAAGUCGUAACAAGGUACC
Molecule: ribosomal RNA, 244 nt
Filed under: uncultured bacterium
Lineage: Bacteria
Description: partial 16S ribosomal RNA
Rfam family: Bacterial small subunit ribosomal RNA
Source: RNAcentral